RNAcentral lists this transfer RNA (69 nucleotides) under Otolithes ruber. RNAcentral's name for it is "tRNA-Asp". It matches the Rfam family "tRNA". From Rfam's summary of the family: Transfer RNA (tRNA) molecules are approximately 80 nucleotides in length. Their secondary structure includes four short double-helical elements and three loops (D, anti-codon, and T loops). The record is from RNAcentral. Lineage: Eukaryota; Metazoa; Chordata; Actinopteri; Sciaenidae.
GAGAUAUUAGUAAAGAAUUUACACUGCCUUGUCAAGACAGAAUCGUAGGUUAAACCCCUAUAUAUCUUG